GAAAUGCGAUAAGUAAUGUGAAUUGCAGAAUUCAGUGAAUCAUCGAAUCUUUGAACGCACCUUGCGCUCCUUGGUAUUCCUUGGAGCAUGCCUGUUUGAGUAUCAUGAAAUCUUCAAAGUAAAUCUUUUGUUAACUCAAUUGGUUUCUACUUUGGUAUUGGAGGUCUUUGCAGCUCCACACCUGCUCCUCUUUGUUCAUUAGCUGGAUCUCAGUGUUAUGCUUGGUUCCACUCGGCGUGAUUAGUUAUCUAUCGCUGAGGACACUGUAAAAGGUGGCCAAGGUAAAUGCAGAUGAACCGCUUCUAAUAGUCCAUUGACUUGGACAAUACUUUUAUGAUCUGAUCUCAAAUCAGGUAGGACUACCCGCUGAACUUAAGC
This 378-nucleotide unclassified non-coding RNA is filed under the name plant metagenome. RNAcentral's name for it is "partial contains 5.8S ribosomal RNA, internal transcribed spacer 2, and large subunit ribosomal RNA". The stretch from base 1 to 105 matches the Rfam family "5.8S ribosomal RNA", at positions 50 to 154 of the family's 154-position model. The record is from RNAcentral.